This 244-nucleotide long non-coding RNA is filed under the name Nicotiana benthamiana. RNAcentral's name for it is "long non-coding RNA (NBEN_LNC016423)". Lineage: Eukaryota; Viridiplantae; Streptophyta; Magnoliopsida; Solanales; Solanaceae. The record is from RNAcentral.
ACCUUCAUUGAUUCAUCAUUCUUCAUUGAUAUAUUAUCAAAUUCUCUCCAUAAUGAUUGAAGUUUGAUAGAGAUUACCUUAGAGGAGCCUUGAAAUUCCUUUUGAAGAAUAUCCCAAGCCUGUUUUGAACUUGUGGCUGCCAUAGUACGAGGGAAGAUAGUUUUACUUACCCCUUGUUGAAUAAAGAGAAGUGCCUUUGCAUCCUUCUUCUUGUUUUCCUUGAACUCCUUUUGCUUGGACGCCG